Molecule: ribosomal RNA, 382 nt
Filed under: uncultured eukaryote
Lineage: Eukaryota
Description: partial 18S ribosomal RNA
Rfam family: Eukaryotic small subunit ribosomal RNA
Source: RNAcentral
UGUAAGCGUAUACCAAAGUUGUUGCAGUUAAAACGCUCGUAGUCGGAAUUUGGCAGUUCCGGAUGUGUGCACGUCGUGUGCGCACUUCGCGGGGAUUGCUUUUGUGGUCUUGCGUAGGAUGAGGCACUUUUAUUAGUGAACGUCCUCACGCAACCACUUUUUACUGUGAGAAAAUCAGAGUGCUCAAAGCAGGCAUUUGCCGUGAAUGUAUUAGCAUGGAAUAAUAGAAUAGGACUUGGUUCUAUUUUGUUGGUUUGUUGGGACUGAGUAAUGAUUAAGAGGGACAGUUGGGGGCAUUUGUAUUUCGGUGCUAGAGGUGAAAUUCUUGGAUUACCGAAAGACAAACUGCUGCGAAAGCGUCUGCCAAGGAUGUUUUCAUUGA